RNA transcript from Vicia villosa (hairy vetch), 2969 nucleotides. RefSeq lists it as uncharacterized. The record is from RefSeq and is a predicted model, not a curated record. The transcript is spliced from 10 exons. Lineage: Eukaryota; Viridiplantae; Streptophyta; Magnoliopsida; Fabales; Fabaceae.
GAAUCUUUGAUGGUUGAAGAUGAAGAGAAUUGAAAUUGUAUGAACAAUAACGUGCUUUCUUCUUUGUUUCAGGUUUUUGAAUUUGGAUCAGUGCCUUUGAAGACUUACUUACCUGAUGGAGAUAUUGAUCUCACAGUUUUUGGCAUCAGACAAAUUUUGCCUGAAAAUUCCAUUCAUGAGAUUCUGCAAAUCAUACAGAAUCAAAAGGAAAAUGAGUUUGCUGAGUUUAGGGUUAAAGAGGUUAAGCUUGUUCAAGCAGAGGUGAAGGUUAUAAAGUGCUUGAUUGACAGUUUUGCGGUUGACAUAUCUUUCAAUCAAUUGAGUGGUUUAUGUUCACUUUGUUUUCUUGAGGAGGUUGAUCAUUUGAUUGGACAUAAUCAUAUGUUCAAGCGCAGUGUGAUACUGAUAAAGGCUUGGUGUUACUACGAGAGCCGAAUCCUGGGUUCCAACAGUGGACUCUUUUCAACCUAUGGGUUGGAAAUUUUGGUAUUAUACAUAUUUAAUCUUUACAACAAUGAUUUUGCUGGACCACUUCAGGUACUAUUUCGAUUUCUGGAGUUCUUUGCUAAAUUUGACUGGGAAAACUAUUGCGUUAGCUUGAGUGGACCAGUGCCCAAAAGCUCACUUCCUAAUAUGAUAGCCGAGUCUCCAAGAAAAGAUUGCCAAGGCCAAGACUUACUGCUCACUGAAUUGUUUCUCAAUGCUUGCAAGACUUGUUAUGGUAAUAUGCCGCGCAGUCUUGAAAAUGACGAGAAACAUUUUGUUACCAAACACAUCGAUAUCAUAGAUCCUUUGUGUGCAUACAACAAUCUGGGGCGUAGCAUCAAUAAAGGUAGCUUCUUUAGGAUAAAGAAUGCAAUUGCUUUUGGUGCUAAGAGGAUACUGAGAAUUCUAGAAUGCACGGAUGAGAAUUUAAUCGCUGAAUUUGAUUACUUUUUCAAAAGCACAUGGAAUAGAAAUGGGAAUGGUUAUUGGAUUCAUGUAAAUGUUUAUAAUCUUUAUAUAAGAAAUAAAAAAAUUGGAAAGUCAACGCGUCAAGAAUCUGAGGAUGAGCAGGCUCUAGCUUCUCGUGAGUCUCAAUAUGAUAACCAAAAGCCUGAUAACCAAUUAUCAGAUAUGGGACUGCAUAAGGAAGAGCCUGAUUGUUUGAAUAUCUCAGAAAGUAGAAGUACUCUUCAGGUGAGUGGAUAUUUGCAUGCACUGAUGGGUCAGUCUGCUGCUAAGGAAGAACCUGCUGUUGGGAAUAUGACUGAAAAUAACAGGAUUGAAUAUCUGGAAGCAGUAAAAGGUACAAAUUCAAAAAACAAUGAGGCAGUGAGGCAGCAAGAGGAAGAGCAUCAUUUUGAGAGUACUACGAAAAGUUGUACGAGUCUCAAGUCCAAAGGAUACUUGCAGGCACUUUUGGGAGUGAAAAAAAGUGAUGCAUCUUUUUCACCACCGCCACAAAACAUAUCUUGCUCUCUAGAUGUAGUUCAAUUUCCGGAACUACAAGAGUUUCCCCGUGGCAGAAGGUCAUUAAAUUUGGGACAAGGCAGUGUUCAUCCACCUGCUGUAAUAAUCACAGAUAGUAUUGUGAUGAACCCGGAAAUCUGUAAAAACACACCAGCUUCAGACUCAACAUCAGAGACCAGAUUCUCAUCCUUGCCUCUGAAACCAACUCAUGGUCCAUCAAUUGAGAAGGCAGACAUCUUCAGGCAUGAGAACACCACUGCUGAAUCUGACGCCUUAAAUGUUCAUGCGCUUCAAUCACCAUAUGCAUCUGGUUCAUCUAAGAUACAAUUUCCAUUCUCAAUCAGCAAUAGCAGUCAUGUUGAAGCUUCACAUUAUUUAGGGAACCAAUUUUCAGAUAUUUUUAAUGGUGAUUUUGUAAAAUAUUGGACAAAUCUUCAAUAUGGGCGAUAUUGUGAGAUUGAACCAUUAGAGCCUUUGCCUUAUCCUCCCAUUUUUGAACUGCCAAUGGAUUUUCAAGAGCAAUAUCAUUUGAAUAGGCAGCCUUCAAGUUCUGCGAACGUUGUGGCUCCCGUAGUUCCUGACAUGCCACCAACACUUGCUUCUGACUCGCAUGAAGGCAUAAAUCAAAGCGUUUCUUUUUGGCUUCCCAGACUUAGUGGAGGCACUGGGUCUUUCAUGCCAAAUCCACUUGUUUACAACCAGAAAUAUUAUGACCGUGAGCUUUACAACAAACAUCAGAAUGCAAAUUACAGAUCUGAGAGACCAGGGAAUUCGAAUUUCAGCUCAAGGGGAAGGGCUUCUAGAUCCAACAAUGUGCCACGAAAUUUGAAUUCUAAUUUCAGGGAAAGGUUUUCCAGCCGUGGCCAGAAUCAUUAUAGACAACGUGAGAAACUAGAAGGUAAAAAGAAAGCAUUGCAUCAAGGUGAAGGGUCAAGUAGUGCCGUUAAUAAACUUGGAAAUUUUGAAAAGGGUUCGAAAGAUAUUUCUCCAUAUCAGCGCUGAUCGUAAUCCAUUUUUAUCGGGCUUUGACGGACCUAGGUGUUUGUGAUUGUGUGCACCUGCACGCCUUGAACUCUUAAAACUUAAACAUGCCAACCUCUAUUUUUUUUUUUUUUUGCAUUUUGAACCCUCUGGAUUUAUUUUUUGCACUGACCUUCUCGCCGAUACUCUUUCUCAUGCACUAAACUCCAUCUCCUUGUUCCUCCUCUUGGGCAAACCUUCCUCUCUCUCUUCUGUUCAGUUUCCACUUCCUUCCUUCAUGCAAUGCCUCUAACAACCGUGAACAUAACAACUCAACAAGAUAUUUGAUCCAUUUUAUGCAUUGCUUGAAGAGGGAUGGAAUUGUCAUCAUCAACCCAAUGCUCUCAGGUGGUUUUCAUCCGGAGUUUCUAGAGCUUGUAACUUUGUAGGCAAUAUAUUAUGUCCUGUUGUCUAAUGUUAUAAAUGUUGUCAUAUGUAAAGGUUCUGCUUGGACCCUAAACUUUGGUUCAUUGAUAUCAAACUCCAACUUUGAGAAA